AAAAAAAAAAAAAAAAAAAUCAUGAUUCAGUAAGGACAGAGUUCAAAAGUUGCACCUGAAAUUGAACCUCCAAAAAUUUCUCAAAUGGCUCCAAUGAUGCACAAUAUAGUAAGAUAGCCUAUCAUGAGUUCAGAAAUUCCUUAAUCAAACCCAAAAUCCUGAUGUAAAUUAUUAACCAUCUUGUCUAACCGCAAUCCCUCCAAUCCCGUGCCCCCACCCCGUUCUCCCAGCAAGAAGAAGAAGAAGAAUCCAGGACAAAAGACAGCAAAAAUCUCACUUGAGAAAUCUACUUCAAUAAAUAUGACUACUCAAUUCCUCUGGUCAAAUUCUCUGAAAGUGUUGAGAUUACACCCGAGCAUAAGAAGAUAAAUAUAAGCCUUUUGAAAAAAUGGUAGAUGACUAUUAGGUGAUGGUUUCUCAUAUGUGUUCCACUCACCCAUCAAUCCAUCACUGAAAGUCUAAAUCAUGCUACAGAAUUUAAACUGAAAUAAGAACAAAGGUAAAGUAAGCAAACCAGAAACAAAG
This 525-nucleotide unclassified non-coding RNA is filed under the name Hevea brasiliensis (rubber tree). The record is from RNAcentral. Lineage: Eukaryota; Viridiplantae; Streptophyta; Magnoliopsida; Malpighiales; Euphorbiaceae.